Molecule: long non-coding RNA, 1209 nt
Filed under: Mus musculus (house mouse)
Lineage: Eukaryota; Metazoa; Chordata; Mammalia; Rodentia; Muridae
Description: long non-coding RNA chr8:35755638-35756847
Source: RNAcentral
UCAGAGCUUUCUGCAGGGAUGCAAGAAUCCCCUCCAUGCCUUCUCUGUACAGCAUGGAGCCACGAGGUGGCCAUGAGCUGCCCAUCGCUGUGGACACUGAGCACAGGUAGUUAGGGCUGACAUGCCAGGCGGCCCAUUCCCAGUGCCCUCUGGGAGCCCUGAGGAAAAGCAAUCUUUGCAAUAUCUGACACCACCUGUGCCGGUGGUUAGGAUUUUCCCAAUUUGACAUGAGUCAGGCUCCUUUGGGAAGCAGGAACUGCAAUUGAGAAAAUGUCCCUAAUCCGAUUGGCCUGCAGGCAACUCUGUGGGGGCGUUUUCAUGAUUAAUAGCUGAUGUGGGAGGGCCUGGAUCAAUGCUACCCUCCAACAUGGUCCUGAGUAGUAUAAGAAAGCAAACGAACAAGACACGGAGUAUGCUAGUAAGCAGAAUCCUUCCCUGGCCUGUUUCAGUUCCUGCCUGCAGCUUCCUGCCUUGACUUCCCUGCAUGAUGGACUAUAGCCUGUUGGCUGAACUAAACCCUAUCUUCCUGGAGCUGCUUUUGGUCCUGGUCCUUAUCACACCAAUAGACAGCUGAUACACACCCCCUUCUAGGACAAGCUCCCAUCUCUGGCCUCACUUCCUCCCCUUACCCUCCACUCUCUAUCUGCAUGGUCUUCUUGCUUGGCUUUGUCUCUCCCACAUGCUUCUUGCAUUCUCUGCGUUCAGUGUUCUUUCCUUAAAUAUCUCCGUGGCUCGGUUCCUCCUUUGCUUUAAUUGUAGAGUGUAGAACAUUUACAUUUUGUGUGCUUAUUGAUUGAAAUCUAUGCAUUGCCACCUCCGACGUACUGUUUGUUUUCUAUGCAGACCAUCUGUCCCUGGCUUCUUUUUGGGCACCCUAUUUUCUCCUGCUUUUUUGGAUGCUGCUUACUAGUAUACUCUCUCCUUUGAUAGCCUUCUAUCUCUGAUGGCUCUUUGACCUCUGCAUUUUACGUUCUCCAUGGUUGUUUAGGGUUGAUAAUAGUCCUAAAUUGAUCUCAUUCCAGUGUCAGCUCACAUAGUCACCUCCUCGCUGUCACGCUGCAUGUAGAUGCUUCUUCCUGCCCUGUGAGUCACUGUUGUCACCUAUUUCUCUCCUGUAUAUGCCAUGGGUGCCAAACAUUGCAACCAUCAUUCUUGCUUUAAAUAGUUAGCUACAUUUCUGAGAAAAUUUAAAAAAAAAAAGUGAGACGU